This 207-nucleotide long non-coding RNA is filed under the name Gossypium raimondii (Peruvian cotton). Its description in RNAcentral is "long non-coding RNA (GRAI_LNC003801)". The record is from RNAcentral. Lineage: Eukaryota; Viridiplantae; Streptophyta; Magnoliopsida; Malvales; Malvaceae.
UUGAAUUCAAAUUUCAUAUGUGUAUAUGUGAAUAGUUUGUUUUUUUUUUUGACAAAAAGACCCAAAGGUCAAAACUCAAUUAAAAGAAUCACGAAAUACAAUAUCAUGGAUGUCCAUAGGAUAAUCCAUACCAAACAGCAUGUUACAAGUAUUUAAUAUAGCAUAUUUACAAAUAAAGUCCGCAACGUUGUUGCAACUUAGAUUGGC